Long non-coding RNA from Equus caballus (horse), 1640 nucleotides. The record is from Ensembl. Lineage: Eukaryota; Metazoa; Chordata; Mammalia; Perissodactyla; Equidae.
GCGUGCAACACACUGCAGGGUCGUCUUACCCCCUCACCGUCUUUUCCCAACCACCUGCGGCCAUUGCUGCAGAAUGCAGUGUCUGCCCGAGCCCAAUAUGUUGCAACAACGCUAAAUAACACCAGACACGCAAUAAGGCUUUUGAAAGAGAGAACAUCCCAAAUGAGACAAGUAGUGUUACAAAACAGAAUGACUCUGGAUGUGUUCAGUGCUGCCCAGGGAGGGACCUGUGCUCUGAUAAAGGGAGGGUGUGUCCGUGUGUUACAUGCGGUGGAAUUUUGGCUUAUGAUGUCCAGAGUUUACUGAGCAGUCACUCCAGUCCCUCAUUGAGCCUGCGCAAUGUUUGGUCGAAGGAGGUCGUCAGCAAGUUUUUUCCUUAUCUGCCAAUGCCCUUGUUAUUCUGCAAGGUACAUAGUUAUAUAUUCUAGUUAUAAGUUCCUCUGGUUGUGGCAUGUGGGACGCCGCCUCAAGUGUGGCCUGAUGAGCGGUGCCAUGUCUGCGCCCAGGAUCUGAACCGGCAAAACCCUGGGCCCCCAAAGUGGAGUGCACGAACUUAACCACUCGGCCUUGGGGCCGGCCCCUGGGGUCUGGUUUAAAUCAUAGCUUGUAAAUUAAUAAAUGGAUGUAUACAAACUUAUUUACUUAAGUUUCCACCAAGUACAUAAACUGGAAUGAAUGAGACAUUCAUACUGUACCAAAUCAGAUUAAAAGACGAAGAUGCAUUUUUGAGACAGACAUUCAGAGCUCACAUAGACUUCUUCAUCUCCAGGGCUGGACAGAUGAGACAUCAUAAAAAUCUUUGGGCCAGCUUUUCCCAGCCCCAGGCCUGCUGUCCCAUCUCCCCGUACCCUAAUUGCCAUUUGCAGCUCCGCUCCCCUUUCCCCCUCCCCACAGCUGGAAUUUCGGGCGGAGGAUCCAGUUUCCCCUUGCACAGUAUGGCCUGGCUUGGAACACUGAGUCUAACUCACCCUUCCGUUUCAUAGAAGGGGAAUCCCACUCAGGGGGAGCGCUUGAACAGUUCGUUUACUGUAGCCAGACCCAGUGUGGUAUUUGUAAGCACCUUAUUCUAAAAGUCAUUUAUUAUGAGGGAAGUAAAACCCAUACUGCAAAAGCGACAAGUUAAUGAGGGCAACUCUUGAGCAAUAUUAUUGCAAGUCGUGACUGGGUAAACAGUAAAGAUCAAAGUUCAGUUCGCACACAUCCUCCUCCAAGAACCAUAUCACAACAAUUUCUGGUUCAUCACAAUUUAAACAGCCUUAUCGUUUUCACCUGCAAGGGGAACUCCAUAGGUGCAGAAUAUAGAAGUUUAUAAACAAAGUCUCCGCCUUUCAGGUUGGAGCCUCAGAAAUGAUAAUCAUGAUGGAAACAAUAAACAAUAAUGAUUAAUACUAAUAAUUACAAAAGAAAGACUGAAUAGAAUUACUGUGUAUGAGUCUCUGCGCCCUCCAGACAUCUUCUCAUUCAGACCUCGCUACGUAUUCUUUAUGUGGACAAAUAAGGAAAUAAUUUUUGGGGGUUGCCGAGGGCACAGCUACUGGACUCCAGCUGGGUCGGCUCAGGCCCCCAGUCCGAGGGCCUAGAGCUAUUGCUCAUGGACCGUUUUGGCCAAAGAUGCGCUUUCUCCUCCAGCCACGAGGCAA